UGGGGAAUAUUGGACAAUGGACCGAGAGUCUGAUCCAGCAAUUCUGUGUGCACGAUGAAGUUUUUCGGAAUGUAAAGUGCUUUCAGUUGGGAAGAAAGAAAUGACGGUACCAACAGAAGAAGUGACGGCUAAAUACGUGCCAGCAGCCGCGGUAAUACGUAUGUCACGAGCGUUAUCCGGAUUUAUUGGGCGUAAAGCGCGUCUAGGUGGUUAUGUAAGUCUGAUGUGAAAAUGCAGGGCUCAACUCUGUAUUGCGUUGGAAACUGAAUAACUAGAGUACUGGAGAGGUAAGCGGAACUACAAGUGUAGAGGUGAAAUUCGUAGAUAUUUGUAGGAAUGCCGAUGGGGAAGCCAGCUUACUGGACAGAUACUGACGCUAAAGCGCGAAAGCGUGGGUAGCAAACAGGAUUAGAUACCCUGGUAGUCCACGCUGUAAACGAUGAUUACUAGGUGUUGGGGGUCGAACCUCAGCGCCCAAGCAAACGCGAUAAGUAAUCCGCCUGGGGAGUACGUACGCAAGUAUG
This 524-nucleotide ribosomal RNA is filed under the name uncultured bacterium. RNAcentral's name for it is "bacterial SSU rRNA". It matches the Rfam family "Bacterial small subunit ribosomal RNA", at positions 355 to 896 of the family's 1533-position model. The record is from RNAcentral.